Molecule: ribosomal RNA, 492 nt
Filed under: uncultured bacterium
Lineage: Bacteria
Description: partial 16S ribosomal RNA
Rfam family: Bacterial small subunit ribosomal RNA
Source: RNAcentral
AGUGAACGCUGGCGGUAGGCCUAACACAUGCAAGUCGAACGGCAGCACAGUAAGAGCUUGCUCUUACGGGUGGCGAGUGGCGGACGGGUGAGGAAUACAUCGGAAUCUACUUUUUCGUGGGGGAUAACGUAGGGAAACUUACGCUAAUACCGCAUACGAUCUACGGGUGAAAGCAGGGGAUCUUCGGACCUUGCGUGAUUGAAUGAGCCGAUGUCGGAUUAGCUAGUUGGCGGGGUAAAGGCACACCAAGGCGACGAUCCGUAGCUGGUCUGAGAGGAUGAUCAGCCACACUGGAACUGAGACACGGUCCAGACUCCUACGGGAGGCAGCAGUGGGGAAUAUUGGACAAUGGGCGCAAGCCUGAUCCAGCCAUACCGCGUGAGUGAAGAAGGCCUUCGGGUUGUAAAGCCCUGUUGUUGGGAAAGAAAAAAUGCAGGUGAAUACCCCGCUGUUCUGACGGUACCCAAAGAAUAAGCACCGGCUAACUUCGUG